AUACGUAGGUGACAAGCGUUAUCCGGAUUUACUGGGCGUAAAGGGCGUGUAGGCGGUCUUGCAAGUCAGAAGUGAAAUUCCUGAGCUCAACUCGGGCGCUGCUUCUGAAACUGCAGGACUUGAGUGCUGGAGGGGAUAGCGGAAUUCCUAGUGGAGCGGUAAAAUGCGCAGAUAUUAGGAGGAACACCGGCGGCGAAGGCGGCUAUCUGGACAGUAACUGACGCUGAGGCGCGAAAGCACGGGGAGAAAACAGGAUUAGAUACCCUGGUAGUCCGUGCCGUAAACGAUGAAUACUAGGUGUAGGGGGUAUCGACUCCCUCUGUGCCGCAGUUAACACAUUAAGUAUUCCACCUGGGGAGUACGGCCGCAAGGUUGAAACUCAAAUGAAUUGACGGGG
This 397-nucleotide ribosomal RNA is filed under the name uncultured bacterium. RNAcentral's name for it is "partial 16S ribosomal RNA". It matches the Rfam family "Bacterial small subunit ribosomal RNA", at positions 523 to 918 of the family's 1533-position model. The record is from RNAcentral.